This is a non-coding RNA of Danio rerio (zebrafish), 487 nucleotides long. Lineage: Eukaryota; Metazoa; Chordata; Actinopteri; Cypriniformes; Danionidae. The record is from Ensembl.
CCGCGUUGUGUAUAGCUGUAAAAUUUGAGAAAUUAGAAGUAAAACAAGCAGUUGAAACUUGAUUUAGUUGUUGUAAUAUACUAUUGUCCGUACUCAAACCCCCAAUCGCGUUUGGACCAAGGACAGGAAUCGUCUGAAGCACAGAUCUGAUUAGGCUGUAUUUUUUUUUUUGGUUCAUAAGUGAUUUUUCUUCAACUAUAACUACUAUAUUUCUUGGUUGGGUUUUUUUUUGUGUGUUCUUUUCCUCUGUUUUUGUUGUUCCAUCUUCUCUGUUCGUGAUCCUGACACCUGACAUUUGGAGUGUGGAGUUCUAGAAGUCCAAAGUAUUCUUGUUUCUGCCAUCUUGGAGGACAUUCGCUGUUGGUGGAAACUGGCGAGCCGCCCGGUUUUAUGGAACCAAUAUUUCGUGUUGCCCAAUUCAUCUGAUUGGUAGGAAAUUUGAGUUUAUAUUUUCCAUCGUCUAUCGGACACAGGAACGACUGGAAGC